AUAGCGAACUAGUACUGUGAAGGAAAGAGCCCCCUAAAAAACGGGCCUGGAAAUACUCAACUAAUUACUUAUACCUUUUGCAUAAUGUUCCAGCGAGUUUACUUCUCUAGCGGUUGUUAAGCUAGCGGCGUAAGCCUCGAAACUAAGUGAUCUAGUUUAGCGCUGGGUUUAGCCCUAAGCCGUAGCUGUUGCAAUAGCUAGGUAAGCACGCUAAACUAGGGGUGAAAUGCUAAUCAAACUUAGAGAUAGCUAGUUCUCUACGAAAUAUAUUUAAGUAUAGCUUGCGUAAAAGCUGCGGUCGAGUAAAUAGCUCCUUUCUAGGAGUACAACAAAAGGUCGUAGCUGGCGCAAAGUCGGAGGUACCGCAAAAAAGUGGAGCCUCGAGAGGGAAACAACCCCUAGUAACGCUUAAUCGACUAAGAGCAGACACCUUGCAGAAUGGUAGGAAUGGAAGCCGUCACCCAAUUAAAUGCGUAAUAGCUUUUUCUGUUUGGUUAUGCUCAAAAAUUUUUUUUUUUGAGAAAGCUUACUUUAGGUAGUAGAGUUUUGGGUAUUUGGUUGAAAAAAGCCAACCGGUUUUUGGACAAACCCCAAUUAAAAAUGCUGGAUUUAGUAGUAACAACCGCGGAAAUGCGGUGCUUUACCUAAGAGUUUCCUAGCAAGGAGCACCUCUAGGAUUAAGCCGGAGCUAAGGGUCUACCCGAGGCGU
This 709-nucleotide ribosomal RNA is filed under the name Mesodinium pulex. RNAcentral's name for it is "partial Bacterial large subunit ribosomal RNA". It matches the Rfam family "Bacterial large subunit ribosomal RNA", at positions 487 to 1412 of the family's 2925-position model. Lineage: Eukaryota; Ciliophora; Litostomatea; Cyclotrichida; Mesodiniidae. The record is from RNAcentral.